UCUUCUCCUCCUUCUUCCUCUUCUCCUUCCUCUUCUUCUU
Molecule: non-coding RNA, 40 nt
Filed under: Paramoeba aestuarina
Lineage: Eukaryota; Discosea; Flabellinia; Dactylopodida; Paramoebidae
Source: RNAcentral